UGACAAACCGGAGGAAGGUGGGGAUGACGUCAAAUCAUCAUGCCCCUUAUGAUUUGGGCUACACACGUGCUACAAUGGACAAUACAAAGGGCAGCGAAACCGUGAGGUCAAGCAAAUCCCAUAAAGUUGUUCUCAGUUCGGAUUGUAGUCUGCAACUCGACUACAUGAAGCUGGAAUCGCUAGUAAUCGUAGAUCAGCAUGCUAC
RNAcentral lists this ribosomal RNA (205 nucleotides) under Staphylococcus aureus. RNAcentral describes it as "partial 16S ribosomal RNA". It matches the Rfam family "Bacterial small subunit ribosomal RNA", at positions 1156 to 1360 of the family's 1533-position model. The record is from RNAcentral. Lineage: Bacteria; Bacillati; Bacillota; Bacilli; Caryophanales; Staphylococcaceae.